Long non-coding RNA from Hemibagrus wyckioides, 1464 nucleotides. RefSeq lists it as uncharacterized. The transcript has 4 exons. The record is from RefSeq and is a predicted model, not a curated record. Lineage: Eukaryota; Metazoa; Chordata; Actinopteri; Siluriformes; Bagridae.
CGUAAACGUGAAAUAAAGUCCAUACACAGAUAAUCCCAAUAAAGUGGCAAUAGUCCAACACGGCUUGGUAAAUUCAAUGAACAAUACUUCGCGUUGUGGCGUCGCGAACACGCUGCUUAAGAAGGCUAAAAAUCCGGAAUUGUUUAUCACUCAGCAGAAAGAUCUCCAUCAAGUACAGAGAGAGGACGGUUCUCUGGGCGAAAUGAGAAUACAGGUCAUUUUUGGAGUCCUGUUGAUUUACACCCAAGUUGCCAUGGGUUCACUGUUUCAGGAUCAUGUGGUCUGUAGAUUUAAUAAGAGUAAUCAGUGUUAUGUAGCUGUGGGACAAAAACUGCACCUGCAAAUGCCCUGGGAGGAUGGGUUUGAACUAAAGACAUCUAGUUUAAUUUUAAAGCAUAGAAAUACUCAAAGUUCCCCACCAACACCACUUCUCCCAAGAUGGCAGUUUGUUAAUGAUAAUAAAACUAUGAUACUAACCAGUGCAGAGAGGAGCGACUCUGGAACAUACACUUUAGACAUCUUUGAUGUAGACGGGAGAAGUAAAGGCAGUUCUACUCUCCAGGUGAACAUUGAAGGUAGGACCACACAACCUCUAAUCACAUCACACAGCACACUACAAUUUAAUUUAAAAAUAUAUAAAAUAUAAAUUUUGUUUGUAAGAUAUAAAAUUUGUCUUUGUAAGAUUCCCUAUUAUAUUUUAAUUUUUUAUUCAUGCAAAUGAGGCCCCAUCUAAUUAAAAAUGCAAACAUGUACACACUUAAUUUCACAAAAUAAAUCUACGGUUUUUGAUUUUACAAUUUAAAUCUUUGUUAGACAGUGAAGAAGCUCCCAAGAGAUAGUCAUUGUUCCUCUUUCUCUUCCUCUUUUAAGUUUAUGUUGCUGUGUUUAAUUUAUUUUGAGGUUUUUAUCUCUAAUCUGCAGCUCAGGUGUCCUCAGUAAAAGUGUCAUACAGCUGCUUGUCCCCUGGAGUUGUGAAAGUCAACUGUGCUGCUGAUGGAGACAACCUCCGCUUCAGCUGGUAUUCUGAUUUUAUCGCGCUCCCUCAACUGGAGAAUGGGACCAGCACUGUCAUACUGGAACAAGACCCACAAGGAAAAGUCACCUGCCAUGUAGAAAAUCACUUCAGCCGUGACCAGUAUACUGUUCAACUUUACCGAUGUUCUGGUUUGCUGCUUCAGGAUCAUGUUUUCUGUCGAUUUACUCAGAGGAAUCAGUGUUAUGUAGCUGUGGGACAACAUCUGCAACUGCAAAUGCCCUGGGAAGAUGGGUUUGACCUAAAGACCACUAGUUUAAUUUUAAAAUAUAGAAAAAAUCAAAGUUCCCCUCCAACACCACAUCUCACAAGAUGGCAGUUUGUUAAUGAUAAUAAAACUAUGAUACUAACCAGUGCAGAGAGGAGCGACUCUGGAACAUACACUUUAAACAUCUCUGAUGUAGACGGGAGAAAUAAAGGCAGUUCUACUC